GGCGCGGUAGCUCAGAGGUUAGAGCGGUCGUUUCAUAAGCGAUAGGUCGGAGGUUCAAUUCCUCCCCGCGCCACGA
This 76-nucleotide transfer RNA is filed under the name Elusimicrobia bacterium RIFOXYB2_FULL_62_6. Its description in RNAcentral is "tRNA-Met". It matches the Rfam family "tRNA". Rfam says of the family: Transfer RNA (tRNA) molecules are approximately 80 nucleotides in length. Their secondary structure includes four short double-helical elements and three loops (D, anti-codon, and T loops). Further hydrogen bonds mediate the characteristic L-shaped molecular structure. tRNAs have two regions of fundamental functional importance: the anti-codon, which is responsible for specific mRNA codon recognition, and the 3' end, to which the tRNAs corresponding amino acid is attached (by aminoacyl-tRNA synthetases). tRNAs cope with the degeneracy of the genetic code in two manners: having more than one tRNA (with a specific anti-codon) for a particular amino acid; and 'wobble' base-pairing, i.e. permitting non-standard base-pairing at the 3rd anti-codon position. Lineage: Bacteria; Pseudomonadati; Elusimicrobiota. The record is from RNAcentral.